GACUCACGCGGGAAUCUUACCGGGUCCGGACACACUGAGGAUUGACAGACAAACAAUUUAUAUUGUUACAAAGAUGCUAGUUCUUUCAUGAUUAUGUGAUAGGUGGUGCAUGGCCGUUCUUAGUUCGUGGAGUGAUCUGUCUGCUUAAUUGCGUUUCAAUAUUUAAAUAUGUAUACGUAUGACCCAAUAACUAUGUUGUUGUGUGUCUAGUAUUACUAUCAUUUGAAAGCAACGAACGUGACCGUAUCCUUUUAUUAUAUACACACAUGUAUAUUGUUUUUAAAGGGACCGCUGUUU
RNAcentral lists this ribosomal RNA (297 nucleotides) under Elphidium sp. S9. Its description in RNAcentral is "partial small subunit ribosomal RNA". It matches the Rfam family "Eukaryotic small subunit ribosomal RNA", at positions 1197 to 1428 of the family's 1831-position model. The record is from RNAcentral. Lineage: Eukaryota; Foraminifera; Rotaliida; Elphidiidae.